GAUUAAUUUUUGAGAGAGCUGUCUCUCUUGACAGAGAUUUUGGAAGGUAAGAGAGACGAUGACGUAUCACGUUUUUAGACGAGACUAUGGCGAUGGAGAGUGAAUUUUGCCUUUUUGGAAUUCCCACGACUCUCUGUAUCUUUCUUUAGGCGAGACUAUGGCGAUAAAGAUUGAAUUUUGCUUCGACAAUUGAGGGUGAAAUUAACGGCAAAUUCAAAAUUUCGGUUUCUGACAAGUCGUUCCGCUGGAUUCGUCAGCUUCUCACCAUCGGCGAAGCGAGGUUCACCUAAUCGGAGAUUUGCGACUCCCAGUUGGAGAGUAAUCGUUGAGGAGAGGCAACGAGUGACACGAGCAUAUCACUUCUCUCGCCAUUCUUCGUACCCAUCGCAAGCUAGGUCUCGUCACUAAGCUCAUGAGUGCCGCUCAGGCUGCUAUGGAACAGCUUAAAGGUAUGAUAAACGACAUGGAUCGUGUCCAACUGGAAUGAGGACUCUUGUGUGUUACACCUAUCGUCAAUGCCCAACUGAUAUGUUGUGUCUUAUAAUCAUAAAUUUACUUUGAUCCAAACACUUUUGAGAAGCUGUCUUCAAGUGGUCAAAAGGUAGCAACUCUUUUUUCUUGUGUAAUUGUAAUCAUCUGUGUUAUGAAGUAUUGCCAUUUUUG
This is a non-coding RNA of Arabidopsis thaliana (thale cress), 663 nucleotides long. The record is from RefSeq. Lineage: Eukaryota; Viridiplantae; Streptophyta; Magnoliopsida; Brassicales; Brassicaceae.